CUCUCUCUCUCUCUUGUUGGAGGAAUUCUAUACUACCACACUUACACCACAUCAUUAAUAACAAGUCAAUUACAUUUCUUUUUUUCAAACAAAAGUACAAUAAGAAUACUUUUUUAUAAUCAUGAUGGGACAUAUAUCUUUAAAAGUAGACUUUUGAUUGGUUUGUUACACCACGUCACCAAUAUACCCGUUGCAUUCUAGAAUUUUUCCUCUUGUGGAGGCCAAAGUUUUGUUUUU
RNAcentral lists this long non-coding RNA (237 nucleotides) under Ananas comosus (pineapple). RNAcentral describes it as "long non-coding RNA (ACOM_LNC003967)". The record is from RNAcentral. Lineage: Eukaryota; Viridiplantae; Streptophyta; Magnoliopsida; Poales; Bromeliaceae.